This is a long non-coding RNA of Spinacia oleracea (spinach), 1894 nucleotides long. RefSeq lists it as uncharacterized. The transcript has 2 exons. The record is from RefSeq and is a predicted model, not a curated record. Lineage: Eukaryota; Viridiplantae; Streptophyta; Magnoliopsida; Caryophyllales; Amaranthaceae.
UCAAUAAAUUAUGAAAUUAUAUUUUUUUUUAUUAAAAUUCGUUAUUUAUAAAUUCAUUACUAAUAAAAUUUAUUAUUUAUAAAAUAUUGAUUUUAGAUUAUUUAUCGUUUUAGUAACUAAUCCAAUGAUUUAAUAUUUUGAAAGAAAUCGGACUCAUAGCUCAGGAAGAACGUUCCAUCAAACGGGACGUAUAAACUACGGUUGAGGUAACAUCUAUUGUUAACACCCAUAAUGCCCUUAUGAACCGUGUUUUAUUAGAUUAUGAAAUAUGUGAAGGAAAUAUGUCCUUCACCCAAGGUGCAUUAAGUAUAAUACCAAGGUUCAGAUUAAUUGCGAACAAUUAAUUCAGUGAGAUCAAGUGAUCAGAACAGCUAGCGGGAGCAAUGCUUCCGAUCAGUGAAUUCUAAUCUAUAUUAGGCUCACAACUUACUCUUGACUAAACCUAUAAGGUCACACCAAUGGCAUGUAACAGAUCACCAAUGGCAUGUAAUAGCUUUUCGGGAAUUAGUUUGGAAAACGUAUUAUACGAUACGACCUGGCGUCGUAAUCGUAUAUCGUAUCGCGAAUAUUCAUAAGUUGGUCGAAACGAAUAAUUGUAUCGUAUGACGGUGAUUCGUCAUAUACGAUACGGUAAAUAAUAGCCGUAAGGCGUUCGUCGCGAAUACGAGCCGCAUCGGAGCUGUCGGCCCGUCGAGCCAAGCGCGCAUGCGCUCAAGGCCCAACGAGCCAGCGAGCUCGCAACGCAGCAAGAAAGCCAGCUCGGGGCGUGGCAGCGUGCAUAACCGCACAUCAACACAGCAGCGAGCACGCAAGGCCCACGGACCAUGCUGCUCGGCUGCGCACGCUGUGGACUUCGGCCUGCAGUGUGUUGGUUGGGUGCGGGUUUGUGCUCGUGUUUGAGUGUGGUCGGUCAAGGCCCUUGGUCUUGGCCGGUUACACUAAUAUAAUAAUUAGGUUAUUAUAUUUUUCCACACACUCCAAUAAUCAGUUUUCCAAGUUAACCUAAACCUUUUCCUAAAUUACGUUCUUCGGUUUUUCUCUCUGCUCAAAAACUGUUCAUCCCGAAAAGCCAAAAUCUUGUGCGUUGUCUAAGCUACAAUAAUCAAGACGGAUCUGAAUGUGUCGGUGAACCAAAUAGAGGAACGAAACGUGGAGUUCUUUGUUCGUGUUCGUUGAUACAAUACUCCGGAAAACACGCUUCGAAUGUGAUUUUACGGUCAUUUGGAUGCUUUCGGAGUGUUAUGAUUUGAUUUGGAUGAUGAACGGAUGGAAUGUUGACUCGAGGAUCAUUGCAUGUCUCUAGGGAUAAUUUUGAGUCAACAACAAGGCUAAACGCUAUUUUUCUAAGCAUCAAAACGGACAAGCGUUCACUCUUUUGAUGAUAUCUCAAGUUCUACAUGUCGGAAUGAGACGAUUUUUAUUGGGCUAGAAAGUAGACUUCAAGAGCUUUCCGACGAUAGGUCACACAUCCUUAUAGGCAUUGUAGAACAAGAGUUAUGACAUAAACAAGAUGGCUCGACUAUCCGAUUCGCCCACGGCCGAAAACGCAGGCCCAACUCUCCUUCUUGGGCGCGAAAACCAACGACCAACCAGCGGGCCCGCUGGUUUCUGCGCCCAAGUGAUUUUCGCGCAUGCUUUCGUCUUCGUGAUUGUCCAAUUAAAUCUUAGCUUAUGUAAUUGUUAUUUUUCCUAUUUUGUUUAGAAUUUAGGAAGCAUAUAAAUACUUCAAGGGAAUGCUUUUAUCCCUUAUGCUUUUAUUUCCUUUAGGUUUCAAUUCUCCUAGAUUUCUAAUUCACGUUCUUUUUCUCUCUUUUCUUUUUUCAUGAACCAUAGUUUUUCUACAAACUCCAUUAAUGUAAUUCUUUGAGGUAUUAUUGAUUUUCCUUUUAUUUUA